Molecule: long non-coding RNA, 2294 nt
Filed under: Marmota monax (woodchuck)
Lineage: Eukaryota; Metazoa; Chordata; Mammalia; Rodentia; Sciuridae
Source: RNAcentral
UACCUAACUGAUCCAUUCUUUUUUUUUUUUUUGUAAUAUUUAUUUUUUAGUUAUAGUUGGGCACAAUACCUUUAUUUAUUUUUAUGUGGUGCUGAAGAUAGAAGCCAGUGCCUCAUGCAUGCCAAGCAAGCACUCCACUGCUGAGCCACAACCCCAGUCCUCUGAUCCAUUCUUAAUGACAAUUGUCAGAGAACUAUUUAAGCAUCUGGUUUGAGUCACAGUUUGAUUUAAGCUCAUUUUUUUUCCUUUCGAAAACUGAUUACCACUCAAAACCAUCUUCUUGAGAUAUAUUACUAUUCUUGGAUUAUAGCACAACAUAAUUAUGAUUUCUCUAAUUUAAUGCAUCUAUUUAAUGUAUGCAUCCAAGGCAUCCACUUACCGAUUCUCAUGGACAUCUUUCUAUACCUAUGUGUGAAUAUUGGGAGAACCCAUCCCCCACUAGACUACCUGACUGGCAAAUUUAGUACCUUCUGUGGCUCCUCCAUGACAGGUACAGGCCCCACUGGGGAGGACUGUGGUACACAGCAAUGCUGUGACUGAGUGGUGAGUAGGCCUCAGGAAGAAUGAAGUAUUAGCAUGUCCUUGUGGCUGGAAAUCCAAGCCAUUCCUUUAAUAUCAGUUUUAUCAGUGAUCAAACUGAUAUUUUCUCUGCCUGGUUUCUAUGUUGUCUAAUAUGGUUCGAAAUUUGGGCAGAGAGGAAAAAGUGGAUUUUUUUUUUUUAAAUUAGGUUUAUGAGCUGCAUCUUUCUGUGCCUCAUUUUCUCACUGAGAAAAGAAAAUCUUAAUGAUAUCGACUUCACAAAGCUGUUAAAAGAACUAAAUGGUUUCAUUCACCUGUACAACCUAAAAUAGGACCUGGCCCAUAGAAAGUAUUCAUUAAAUGUUGGAUAUGAUUUAUAUUAUUUUAAUUUAAUUAUCAUGCUAUUCUGCAACUUCUCGUACCUUUGUUUCAGUCAAACACACAGCAUGAGUGUCUUUCCCUAUGCAUAAAUGCAUUUCUACGGGCUUGUGACUAGUGGCCCCUCGGAUUUCACUGGAUAAAAGUUCUACAACUGGUCUACCAAUCCCUCAUUGUCCCCUCUUUAAACACAUAGCUUGAAAUUUUUAGGAAAAAUGUGGAAUAAAUUUGACCUAAUAAACCUCUUCCAAAUAUUAACAAAGAUGAGCUAACAAGAUAAAAAUAAAAAGAGAAGUUUUUAUUAGUCCUAAAACCAGGAAAUGGUUCCAAUGUCAUUUCAUAAAUGUUGAAUAUUUCCCAGAUACAGAACAGCUUGACCCAGCUGAAAGAAAAUAUCUAUAAUCAACUUUAGCAUACUGUUUUGAGCACUUGACAAUAAUUAACAAAGGUUAUCCAAAGAUCUGAGCAAUAAAAUAAGCAAGAUUGAGCUUCGUGUUCUCACAAUUUUUAGAUCAUCCCCCAUUCCAGUAAAUUCAACCACCCCAUCUUCCUGAAAUAUUCAUAUUCUGAAAACAAGGUUUUUACAAUAUUCCCCAAGCAAAGUUACACUAUAACAUGGAACAUGCUUUGUAAAACAACACACUUCAGCUCUCUCCCCCUGCUGCUACUUUUUCUUACCUUUUACCUUCAGUUGAAAAUCACCAAUUUGAUUAAUAGUUGUAUAUUGAACUCUGAAAGCAGAGGGUACACCUCCUUCUCCAGCUCCAUGAAACUUUUAAUGAAAUUAUGGAGUUAAGAAAGAAAAGAAUUUGAAUUUUCUUCUUUAUUUUGGUUACAUUCCCCAGUCGUUGGUCCCUUCCCUCUCCCCUUCCUGCUCAGGAUCUAGUUUAAGUAUUAGCUAAAUGGUUUGAAGAUUUCAGAAAUCCACUAAGACUUCUAUGAUGGGCUUGGUUUUUAAAUGUAACUUGGGUUUCCAUGGGCAUAUCAAGCUAAGGGCAGAGUUUACAGCAGUGUUUCAAUAAUAAUAAGCAAUAUUAAUAUUCUGAUUCUUUUCAUUUGUAUUAUAAAAUUGUUAAAUUAUUUGAUCAAAUUAUUAAAUUAUUUGAAUAAAGUUACUUCCAUCAUGAAUGGUGUUUUCUUUGUAUGAACUCUCUAGAGACCUCUGGAUUCGUCUAAUGUAGAAAGGUCACAGGGGUGAUAGAGAAAGUUCAUUGUUUAGCCUGUAAUCCCAGCAGCUCGGGAAGCUGAGGCAGAAGGAUUGCAAGUUCAAAGCCAAAACCAACCUCAUCAUUUUAGAAAAGGCCCUAAACUACUUAGUAAGACCCUGUCUCAAAAUUUAAAAUCAAAAGGCUGGGGGUGUUGCUCAGUGGUUAAGCACCCCUGGGUUCAAUCCCUAC